ACGUCUUCAAUAAAUAAAAAUAUUAAAUAGCCUAAAAAAAAAGAAUACAAGUUUUAAAGGAAAUAGUUCAAUAACAUAAAUGGGAUUUCGUAAUAAAAACCCGAAAUCCGUUCUAGAAUAUUAUGUAUACUUAUUUUCCAUGAAGAAAUUAAGAAAAGAAAAACAUGGCAGAAAAAUAAGAAAAGUAAGCUUAAUUAUUGUGGUUUUACCAGAACAGCUUCCAGCCUCACCAGUCACCACCUGAACGGUGAAGUGUACUAUUAAGACUGCACAUUGAAAAACUUAAUAACUGAAGCUACUAUAUCCUGGUUAAAAUUGAAUUCAAAGAAAAAGCAAAUUAUAACAACAAGAUUUCAAAGUCAACAACUUAAGUUAAAGAAAAACUUUGCAGAAAAGCUUAGAACUGUGGUGCCAGUUUCUAAGAAAAUAUUUAGACAGGCUGAGGUAAAUAAUUCAAUAUCAAAUUUAUUGAAUUUCUCUAAUGAUGAUAUUUUAAAACAUACUGGUAAUGAGUGUGAAGAUUUAACGAAAUGCAUUAAUAGCAUAACAUCAAAUUCUUUACAACCACCUUUGUAUGAGCCUGAAAAUCAAGAAAAUGUCUUAAUUCAACAACUUCCAGCUUUAAUGCUUGAACCAACUCCACCUGCCUUUAGGACAAAUAAAGACUUUUAUAAUCUACUGAAUGGAAGUACUGAAAAUAUAAUACCAUGGGAUGCACUUUCAAGAGGGGUAAAAGGCCAGUAUGAAAGGGCUGCCACGAGAAUAAGAAGAAAUUAUAUUCAAUCUUACACAAGCUUCUUAGAAACUCUUACCCCAAUUGAACUUUUUAAUCAUUAUAAGCAUGUGACUGAUGUUUAAUAAAACGUUUUAAUUA
Molecule: RNA transcript, 874 nt
Organism: Pieris napi
Lineage: Eukaryota; Metazoa; Arthropoda; Insecta; Lepidoptera; Pieridae
Exons: 5
Source: RefSeq, a predicted model, not a curated record